GAUGAAGAACGUAGCGAAAUGCGAUAAGUAAUGUGAAUUGCAGAAUUCAGUGAAUCAUCGAAUCUUUGAACGCAUCUUGCGCUCCUUGGUAUUCUGAGGAGCAUGCCUGUUUGAGUGUCAUUAAAUUCUCAACUACACUGACUUUGAAUUGGUGUGGCUUGGAUUUGGGGGGAAAAUUGUUGUGGGCUUUUUGUAUAGUCUGCUCCCCGGAAAUUGAUUAGCGGUACCUUUGUGGAACUGUCUACAGGUGUGAUAAUUAUCUACAUCUUAGACAUCUGCUGGAAUGCUGCUUUCUAAACCUUACUUGUAUUGACAAUCUUGACCUCAAAUCAGGUAGGACUACCCGCUGAACUUAAGCAUAUCAAUAAGCGGAGGA
This 376-nucleotide unclassified non-coding RNA is filed under the name soil metagenome. RNAcentral's name for it is "partial contains 5.8S ribosomal RNA, internal transcribed spacer 2, and large subunit ribosomal RNA". The stretch from base 1 to 120 matches the Rfam family "5.8S ribosomal RNA", at positions 35 to 154 of the family's 154-position model. The record is from RNAcentral.